AUUUAAAUAGUUUAAUAAAAAGCAUUGGUUUGUGGAGCCAAGGAUGUAGAAAUACUUUAGAUA
Molecule: transfer RNA, 63 nt
Filed under: Prosopocoilus gracilis
Lineage: Eukaryota; Metazoa; Arthropoda; Insecta; Coleoptera; Lucanidae
Also listed under: 1 other name
Description: tRNA-His
Rfam family: tRNA
About the family: Transfer RNA (tRNA) molecules are approximately 80 nucleotides in length. Their secondary structure includes four short double-helical elements and three loops (D, anti-codon, and T loops).
Source: RNAcentral